CAGAAUGCACCGCGUGGAAAGGCAUGCUGACGGAGGAGGCCACGUUGGCAAUCUACAUGCCCACGAUCGGACGGUUCAAAAUUAUUUCCGCGUGCGUGGACGGCCCGGAUACAUUUUUUCCUCAGGCGCGAUCGUACGAUUUAGAUCAAAUCACGAUCAACGGUCCAAAUUCACUUCUUAUUUAAAUGCGAUCAGACAGUUGAAAUCAAACGCGAUGGACGGUCCAGAUUAAAGGAAGAUAGAUAUAAAUACUUCAUUUCAUACCGAACCCUAACCUUAGCCGCCAGCCCUCCACCAGAGAAGAAGAAUCAGUCGCUGGGAGAGAGAGUCAACUGCCGCCCGUUGCCAUGCUGGAGCCACCUCCGACCGUUAAAAGAGGCAAAACAUUUCUUAUUCGCUCGAAAUUCGAUUUUGAACACACCAUGGCUAAAUCGGAAUAAAA
Molecule: long non-coding RNA, 442 nt
Filed under: Carica papaya (papaya)
Lineage: Eukaryota; Viridiplantae; Streptophyta; Magnoliopsida; Brassicales; Caricaceae
Description: long non-coding RNA (CPAP_LNC010253)
Source: RNAcentral